GAAAAAAAAAAGGGGGGGGGGGCCACGUCAGCAGCCACGUCAGCAGACCCAGUCAGCAGUCCCGGCCAACCGGGAUCUGCCACGUGGCAAGACCACGUCGAUCCGGGACGGGCCACGUUGGCGAUCCGCGUAUGCGCGAUCGGACGGUCCAGAUCGAACGUGCGAUCGGACGGCCCAGAUGCAAUCGCACGGACGGCCCAGAUUCAAUCAAAAACGGACGGCCCAGAUUAAAUCAAAAUGGACGGCUGAGAUCAAAAGGCAAAAGGGUAUA
This 271-nucleotide long non-coding RNA is filed under the name Carica papaya (papaya). RNAcentral's name for it is "long non-coding RNA (CPAP_LNC015328)". Lineage: Eukaryota; Viridiplantae; Streptophyta; Magnoliopsida; Brassicales; Caricaceae. The record is from RNAcentral.